This 351-nucleotide unclassified non-coding RNA is filed under the name soil metagenome. RNAcentral's name for it is "partial contains 5.8S ribosomal RNA, internal transcribed spacer 2, and large subunit ribosomal RNA". The stretch from base 1 to 120 matches the Rfam family "5.8S ribosomal RNA", at positions 35 to 154 of the family's 154-position model. The record is from RNAcentral.
GAUGAAGAACGUAGCGAAAUGCGAUAAGUAAUGUGAAUUGCAGAAUUCAGUGAAUCAUCGAAUCUUUGAACGCACAUUGCGCCAGCCAGUAAUCUGGCGGGCAUGCCUGUCUGAGCGUCAUUUCAACCCUCAGCCCCCGCUCGCGGGGCGCUGGCGUUGGGGAUCGGCCGUCCUCGCGGCGGCCGGCCCCGAAACACAGUGGCGGUCUCUCGCGGACUCCCCUGCGUAGUAGCACUACCUCGCAGUAGGGACGAGCGGGCUGACCACGCCGUAAAACCCCCCACUUCUCCAGGUUGACCUCAGAUCAGGUAGGAAUACCCGCUGAACUUAAGCAUAUCAAUAAGCGGAGGA